AUUGAACGCUGGCGGCAGGCCUAACACAUGCAAGUCGAGCGAGCGGCGGACGGGUGAGUAAUGUCUGGGAAACUGCCUGAUGGAGGGGGAUAACUACUGGAAACGGUGGCUAAUACCGCAUACCCUCGGAUGUGCCCAGAUGGGAUUAGCUAUUAGGUGGGGUAAUGGCUCACCUAGGCGCCGAUCCCUAGCUGGUCUGAGAGGAUGAUCAGCCACACUGGAACUGCGACACGGUCCAGACUCCUACGGGAGGCAGCAGUGGGGAAUAUUGCACAAUGGGCGAAAGCCUGAUGCAGCCAUGCCGCGUGUGUGAAGAAGGCCUUAGGGUUGUAAAGCACUUUCAGCGGGGAGGCGUUACCCGCAGAAGAAGCACCGGCUAACUCCGUGCCAGCAGCCGCGGUAAUAC
This 406-nucleotide ribosomal RNA is filed under the name uncultured bacterium. RNAcentral describes it as "partial 16S ribosomal RNA". It matches the Rfam family "Bacterial small subunit ribosomal RNA", at positions 30 to 526 of the family's 1533-position model. The record is from RNAcentral.